RNAcentral lists this ribosomal RNA (942 nucleotides) under Triticum aestivum (bread wheat). RNAcentral's name for it is "partial small subunit ribosomal RNA". The record is from RNAcentral. Lineage: Eukaryota; Viridiplantae; Streptophyta; Magnoliopsida; Poales; Poaceae.
AUGGCGGGCCCGUCGUGGCUACUCCUGCUCUGUCUCGCCGGCGGCGUGCUUCAUGCCGGUGGCCAGAGAGCGCCCGACACCACGGGUUUCGUCAGCGUCGACUGCGGCCUCUCGGAGCACAGCGGCUACGUGGACGACGCCACCAAGCUGCCCUACAGCUCGGACGCCGGCCAGAACUACAACGUCUCGGCACAGUACAACGACCAGGCGUUCCUCAGACGGCACCGGCAGCUCCUCACCGUCCGCUACAGGUCUUGGAGGAAACACAGGACCGCCUCUUCUUCCUCGGUGUCAACAAAGCCGAGUAUUGGCCUUCCUAUCUCUCCUGGCGUGCUCCAUGCUAAAGAUUUCGCUCCGGCGGUCGCUAAAGUGGGGAACAGGGUGCUCCCUUGGAGAGGCAGAUAUAAUACCAAUGCUGGCAAAGUUGCUCUAAUUAACUCCUGCUUAUCCUCUCUCCUCAUGUUUCUUAUGGGCUUCUAUCUUCUUAUAUGGAUGGCGUGCAUGCUGGCUUCGACAAACAUAGGGGAGCCUUCUACUGGAAUUCCGCGGAUAACAAACGGAAAUAUAGGCUGGUCAAGUGGUAGCAUAUGUGCUAAAUACUUCCCACAUUCCAACCCGCUGUUUGCCAUCGCGAGGCGCGGCUCUCAAUUUUGGAAAUCCCUUGUCAAAGUCAGACCUAUUUUCCUGGAACAUGUUAAAUUUAAUGUUGGUAAUGGGAUGGCAGUCCGCUUUUGGUUGGACUGGUGGUCGGGGGAUGCCCCCCUUGCUGAGAGUUUUCCGGUUUUGUUCUCUUACUGUCCUAAUCCAGGUAUCUCCAUCGCGGAGGUGGCGACUAAUAACUGGGAUCUGGUCUUUCGUCGGGCCCUGUCUCCUGAAGAGUUGGAAGAUUGGCAAAGUCUCGCUGCCCUCUUCCCCGUGCUCUCGGAGUCGGCCAUUCUGUAG